Long non-coding RNA from Aedes aegypti (yellow fever mosquito), 923 nucleotides. RefSeq lists it as uncharacterized. The record is from RefSeq and is a predicted model, not a curated record. The transcript is spliced from 4 exons. Lineage: Eukaryota; Metazoa; Arthropoda; Insecta; Diptera; Culicidae.
CUUUUCACCUCACCCUAUCCAAGAAUGUUUAUUUACGUUUUGAAAUGUCAAGAUUGCCUGCAGGCAGCUCCGAAAAACUUUCAGUAGCAAACAAUAUUUCGAUUGCCACGAAAAUCCAUGGUCGAUUUUUUUGUAGCCACAUUAAUUUAAACUUUAAUUCAGCUUGCCACACUUGAAUUAAACUUCAAUUCGCAUAAUCAACGAACACGGAAUACUUAGAUUUGCGCAGUUUCGGAAAUUUAGAGGAACUCAAUUGGAGUAAUUGCUGAAGUGAGCUCAUCAUACCGCAUCAAUCAUGUCAGCACAGAAAACCAAAUUUGAAAAAGCAGACUCUAGGAACCUCCCGUUAAUACUGGAAGACACCAUUAUAAAGUUUUAUGCAACGAAUCCGAAUUUUUUGAGUUCUGAAUCCAAACAAGUUAAAAUGCAAAGAUCUGGAAGAAAAAGCUAUGGUGAUAUGGCGGUAGGAUUUGUGAAACUUCAACGGUUCGGUGAAAAAUGUAGGAUUGUAGCGAGUAUUACCCCGGAACACAAAAUAACUCAGCGCCCAUACGAUGUCUCAUUGACCAUAAAUGAAGCGAAUGGAUUGAUUGAAGAUUUCUCUUGCGAAUGUGAAGCAAACAUGGAGAAACUCGAAACAAUCCGACAAAUUUGGUUUAGAAAACGAACAGAUGAAACAAUAUGUAUAUGACAUAGGGUACAUGUCCCAAUGGCGUUGUUAGUACCAGUAGUUGUGCUAGUGAAUUAGUGUUUCAAAAGUUUUCAACUGAUAGAAGUAAUGUCUGUUCUAUUAAAAAACAUCUGUUUGAAAUGUAUUAAAAUAAUUAUACCUAUGAAAUUAUCACGAUGCGUAUAACAGAUAUUAUUUCCUGUCUCGAGAUAAAAAUGUAUUCAAAAUAUGAAUAAAAUUUCGUAUUAAGUUU